This 253-nucleotide ribosomal RNA is filed under the name uncultured bacterium. Its description in RNAcentral is "partial 16S ribosomal RNA". It matches the Rfam family "Bacterial small subunit ribosomal RNA", at positions 524 to 776 of the family's 1533-position model. The record is from RNAcentral.
UACAGAGGGUGCAAGCGUUAAUCGGAUUUACUGGGCGUAAAGCGCGCGUAGGCGGCUAAUUAAGUCAAAUGUGAAAUCCCCGAGCUUAACUUGGGAAUUGCAUUCGAUACUGGUUAGCUAGAGUGUGGGAGAGGAUGGUAGAAUUCCAGGUGUAGCAGUGAAAUGCGUAGAGAUCUGGAGGAAUACCGAUGGCGAAGGCAGCCAUCUGGCCUAACACUGACGCUGAGGUGCGAAAGCAUGGGGAGCAAACAGG